UACAGAGGUCUCAAGCGUUGUUCGGAUUCAUUGGGCGUAAAGGGUGCGUAGGCGGCGCGGUAAGUCGGGUGUGAAAUCUCGGAGCUUAACUCCGAAACUGCACUCGAUACUGCCAUGCUUGAGGACUGGAGAGGAGACUGGAAUUUACGGCGUAGCGGUGAAAUGCGUAGAUAUCGUAAGGAAGACCAGUGGCGAAGGCGGGUCUCUGGACAGUUCCUGACGCUGAGGCACGAAGGUCAGGGGAGCAAACGGG
This 253-nucleotide ribosomal RNA is filed under the name uncultured bacterium. RNAcentral describes it as "partial 16S ribosomal RNA". It matches the Rfam family "Bacterial small subunit ribosomal RNA", at positions 524 to 776 of the family's 1533-position model. The record is from RNAcentral.